Molecule: ribosomal RNA, 253 nt
Filed under: uncultured bacterium
Lineage: Bacteria
Description: partial 16S ribosomal RNA
Rfam family: Bacterial small subunit ribosomal RNA
Source: RNAcentral
UACGGAGGGUGCAAACGUUGCUCGGAAUCACUGGGCGUAAAGCGCACGUAGGCGGCUCUGUAAGUCGGAUGUGAAAGCCCUCGGCUCAACCGAGGAAGUGCAUUCGAAACUGCAGGGCUUGAGUAUGGAAGAGGGUCGCGGAAUUCCCGGUGUAGAGGUGAAAUUCGUAGAUAUCGGGAGGAACACCAGUGGCGAAGGCGGCGACCUGGGCCAAUACUGACGCUGAGGUGCGAAAGCGUGGGGAGCAAACAGG